This 72-nucleotide transfer RNA is filed under the name Camelus bactrianus (Bactrian camel). It matches the Rfam family "tRNA". From Rfam's summary of the family: Transfer RNA (tRNA) molecules are approximately 80 nucleotides in length. Their secondary structure includes four short double-helical elements and three loops (D, anti-codon, and T loops). The record is from Rfam by way of RNAcentral. Lineage: Eukaryota; Metazoa; Chordata; Mammalia; Artiodactyla; Camelidae. RNAcentral also lists the same sequence under 2 other names.
GUGAGUAUAGCUCAGUGGUAGAAUGUAUGCUUAGCAUGCACAAGGUCCUGGGUUUAAUCCCCAGCACCCCCA